AGACAAAGUCAUCUGGCUGUCUGCCUAUUGAUCGCUAGAGUGGACUUAGCUGAUCUGGCUGCCUGGGUGAAUUUUUCAUUUCUCCUCACAGCAUCUUUACGCAAACCUCCCAAAGCUGCAUCCUGAGAUGAAGAGCGAGUGUGAUGCUCUCUGUCAGGCACACAAGUAUCUCCUUCUAUACCCUCCAAACAAGAUUAAAGUCCAACUGUAGAAUACAGAGCUGCCAAGCCUCCAAGUCUUGAGAUACUGAAAUGAAAACUUAUAUACAGCAAUGUGCUUUUCACU
This 285-nucleotide small nuclear RNA is filed under the name Anas platyrhynchos (mallard). Its description in RNAcentral is "7SK RNA". It matches the Rfam family "7SK RNA". From Rfam's summary of the family: 7SK was discovered as an abundant small nuclear RNA in the mid-70s but a possible function has only recently been suggested. Two independent studies have found that 7SK RNA binds the CDK9/cyclin T complex (known as elongation factor P-TEFb). Lineage: Eukaryota; Metazoa; Chordata; Aves; Anseriformes; Anatidae. The record is from Rfam by way of RNAcentral.